AUAGAUCGAAACAAAGAAGAAAAAGAAGAAAAAAAGAGCAUUGUAAAACCAAUAGCUCCCUCGCUACGCUCGGAAUCUAAAAGGUAAAAAAUUAAGCGUGUUUAUCAGUUCAAUAACAGUUUUCCGGAUUUUUCACCCGUGUAAUUUGCAGAUUUCGCUAUAUUUUAAUAAUAUUUCGAGAUUUAAAUCAGAAUAAUAAUUAAAAAUAACAGCUGCAGUGCGUCCAGCUGCACGGCGGCGUUGCACGUAAAAAAUAAAACGCGAGUAAACAAUAUACAAAUUAACAUUACGCUAUUAUAAUCAAAUCCGUUUUUAAUUUAUUUUUGAAAACUAAUUUAUUAAUAUUUUCCAUUCGGCUACCCCGGUCUAUAACAAUCACUCCUCCCCUCUAUACUAAAGUCUUUCUUCGUCCUAAUAUUUUAUUAUAACUCCGUCUUUUCUCAACGUUGACGGAAUUUAUAAGAACGAAAAUAUCAAGACGUAUCAACCGCCUUGUUUACGGGUCGGAUUUCCGAAAAUCCUUUUUUAGUGCGCGUCUACGUUAUACAUAAUAAGAGAUUUUGAAGCCUUUGUGCUAAAUGUCAAGUUUCCAGACCCGCGGUAGGAGGUCUUGAGAUACAGCAAUGACUCAGUAUCGGCUAAUUAAAUAUUCGGCUUUUUUACAAUAACAUAAACCGUAUCAGGU
Cinara cedri is the source of this 685-nucleotide non-coding RNA. Lineage: Eukaryota; Metazoa; Arthropoda; Insecta; Hemiptera; Aphididae. The record is from the annotation of a GenBank genome assembly.